AAUUUUAUUUUCUUUUUGCUUUCUUUUUCUACUUUCUUUUUGUUUCUUCGACACCAUUAGAAAAAUAGGCCAGUUCGCGUUUAAACUUAAAACACAUGUAGGUUGUUGUUUUUACGAGGGAGCAGGAAACAAAGAGGAGAAGAAGGAAAAAAAAAAGAAUUAGGAGAUAAAUAGGAGGGAGGAAGAGUCGAUUGAUUGGUGAGUUCGGUAUCAAGUAGGAUUAACUGGUUUCAACAACUAAUUAAGUUCCAGGUGAAUCCAGCGUAGCUGAAGAUGAGGUGUUAAAAGUCGAGUAUUACGUUUCGCUUGAGUGACACUGGGGUUGAACCAUUGGAGGAACGGAAACUUUCGUCUCAUCUAAUGUUCCUUGUGUACCUUUUUCUGAGGUGUCACUACAGGGACAGAUUCAGCAGACGCGCUAGCCCUUCAGAUAGCAGUAAUUUGGACCACAAGUUCAGGGAAGAAAAGGGCGGGUUUUCUGUGUGAUUCUAAAGAUGUGGUGGCUCAUAUAAACGAUAAACAGUUGCUCAUGGGCAGUAUCUAUUAUUCCGAAGGAUACAAAGAAAUCUUUUGGGUUUUUUGAAUCUGUCAAAGUGAUAUAUGUAAAUAGGAAUCACAUUUCUUGUGCUGACAGUUUGGCUAAACAUGUCAAAAAAUAUAAAUCUAAAUGUAUAGGUAAAAGAUUUAAUCUUUGCUAAACAAAGAUGGGAUUAUAUGCCGUAGAGCUGAUGACGCAGACUGGUGCUAUAUUGUACUGCUGCAAGCUUGGUGGUCGUGAGUUGCAAGAGAAACUGGUUCUGGAUGGUGGGUGUUCAGGCUCUAGGAGGUGGUGGUCUUGACUUGUAGGAGAGCAACUCGUGGUGAUGAUGGAAAGGUGAUUUACGUGAUGGUCUGAUAGAUGUGGACGGUGGCAAGAGUGAUUGGAGAGCAACUCCUGGUAGUGAUUGAUAAGCAGGCAGUACAAAUAGAUUGGAUAAACAGAAAUACAUCAAGCUGCACACACGCUACUCAAUACAGCUAAGUGGACAAGCCUAAUUGACUUUCACUUGGUCAUGUUAUUCGCAUUAUCAUAGUAUAUGCUAAGUUUUAUACACCCUAAACAUUCAGUUAUGCUCCCUUUUGUUUUGACCAUAUGGUUUGUAUCUCUCCUUUACCUGUUCGUAAAAGUAGUGGAAUUAUUGUAUAGCCGGAAAUUUGAGAUGUUAGGUUAAUGAUAAGAUGACUUUUUGGUAAUAUUGUAA
Papaver somniferum (opium poppy) is the source of this 1241-nucleotide long non-coding RNA. RefSeq lists it as uncharacterized. Lineage: Eukaryota; Viridiplantae; Streptophyta; Magnoliopsida; Ranunculales; Papaveraceae. The record is from RefSeq and is a predicted model, not a curated record. The transcript is spliced from 4 exons.